AAGCUAUCAAUCAACCUUGGGCCAUCUUCAACGUUGAGGGUUUCCUUGAGCUCGUUAAACAGUGCUCGUUUUUGUGCAGGCAUCAUCCUUCUGCAUUGCCUUGAUUUGUCAAAUUUACCUUUGACCAUAUUGAAGUCGCCAAUAAGCAUUCAACAGCACGUUUGGGGGAGUUCACGUGGCAAGGUCUCUUAGAGCACACAUCUUUCAUUGGGCUCGUUUGGAGCAUAGAUGUUGACAAAACCUGCAUCCCCUCUGGGUAAGCCACUGAAAAUGAACCAGUGAGCUCAAUUUGACAUCAUCGAGCCGGUUGCUGAAACCAGCUUGGCCUACUUUGGCGCAAUAAAAGUAGCAACACCUCCUUUGCCAGCUUUGUUGUCGUCUCCAGUGCACCCUACUGUGGCAUCCAGGCACCAGUAGGUGGAUCUUACCUGUAGCUGCUUGUGUAAUUUGGUAGCCGUUUUUUGACGUAACUUAUUUUCCUGCAAGAACAGGAAGUCCAAGGACAGUUUGAGGCCCUGAAUGUAGUGUUUCAAAGUGUCAAUGGCUUGCGGGGCGUUAAGUCUGCGAACAUCGUAAGAUAACAUUUGUA
Molecule: long non-coding RNA, 589 nt
Filed under: Physcomitrium patens
Lineage: Eukaryota; Viridiplantae; Streptophyta; Bryopsida; Funariales; Funariaceae
Description: long non-coding RNA (PPAT_LNC009362)
Source: RNAcentral